CCUACGGGAGGCAGCAGUAGGGAAUAUUGCUCAAUGGGGGAAACCCUGAAGCAGCAACGCCGCGUGGAGGAUGAAGGUUUUCGGAUUGUAAACUCCUUUUGUUAGAGAAGAUAAUGACGGUAUCUAACGAAUAAGCACCGGCUAACUCCGUGCCAGCAGCCGCGGUAAUACGGAGGGUGCAAGCGUUACUCGGAAUCACUGGGCGUAAAGAGGGCGUAGGCGGGAUAGCAAGUCAGAUGUGAAAUCCUAUGGCUUAACCAUAGAACUGCAUUUGAAACUGUUAUUCUAGAGUAUGGGAGAGGUAGGUGGAAUUCUUGGUGUAGGGGUAAAAUCCGUAGAUAUCAAGAGGAAUACUCAUUGCGAAGGCGACCUGCUAGAACAUAACUGACGCUGAUGCGCGAAAGCGUGGGGAGCAAACAGGAUUAGAUACCCGAGUAGUC
Molecule: ribosomal RNA, 440 nt
Filed under: uncultured bacterium
Lineage: Bacteria
Description: partial 16S ribosomal RNA
Rfam family: Bacterial small subunit ribosomal RNA
Source: RNAcentral